This is an unclassified non-coding RNA of Pongo abelii (Sumatran orangutan), 148 nucleotides long. It matches the Rfam family "Metazoan signal recognition particle RNA". From Rfam's summary of the family: The signal recognition particle (SRP) is a universally conserved ribonucleoprotein. It is involved in the co-translational targeting of proteins to membranes. The record is from Ensembl. NCBI's taxonomy places the organism in Eukaryota, Metazoa, Chordata, Mammalia, Primates, Hominidae.
GCUGGGUGUGGUGGUGCAUGCCUGUAAUCCCAGCUACUCGGGAGGCUGAGGCAGGAGAAUCGCUUGAACCUGGGAGGUGGAGGUUGCAGUGAGCUGAGAUUGUGCCACUGCACUGCAGCCUGGGUGACAGAGCGAGACUCUGUCUCAA